Long non-coding RNA from Oncorhynchus tshawytscha (Chinook salmon), 1382 nucleotides. Lineage: Eukaryota; Metazoa; Chordata; Actinopteri; Salmoniformes; Salmonidae. The record is from Ensembl.
AAGAUUUGGCAUGGGUCCCCAGAUCCUCAAAAAUGUCAACAGCUGCACCAUCGAGAGCAUCCUGACCGGUUGCAUCAGACUGUAAGACACUACAGAGGGUAGUGCGUACGUACGGCCCAGUACAUCACUGGGGCCAAGCUUCCUGACAUCCAGGACCUCUAUACUAGAGGAGAGAAGACGAGAGGAGAGAAGAGGAGGGGAGAGAAGAGGAGAGGAGAGAAGAGGAGGGGAGAGAAGAGGAGGGGGAGAAGAGGAGGGGAGAGAAGAGGAGAGGAGAGAAGAGGAGUGGAGAGAAGAGGAGAGGAGAGAAGAGGAGGGGAGAGAAGAGGAGGGGAGAGAAGAGGAGAGGAGGGAAGAGGAGAGAAGAGGAGGGGAGAGAAGAGGAGGGGGAGAAAAGGAGGGGAGAGAAGAGGAGAGGAGAGAAGAGGAGGGGAGAGAAGAGGAGAGGAGGGAAGGGGAGAGAAGAGGAGGGGAGAGAAGAGGAGAGAAGAGGAGGGGAGAGAAGAGGAGGGGGAGAAGAGGAGGGGGAGAAGAGGAGUGGAGAGAAGAGGGGGAGAGAAGAGGAGAGGAGGGAAGAGGAGAGGAGAGAAGAGGAGAGAGAGGAGAGGAGAGAAGAGGAGGGGGAGAAGAGGAGGGGAGAGAAGAGGAGAUGAGAGAAGAGGAGGGGGAGAAGAGGAGGGGAGAGAAGAGGAGGGGGAGAAGAGGAGUGGAGAGAAGAGGAGGGGAGAGAAGAGGAGAGGAAAGAGGAGAGGAGAGAAGAGGAGGGGGAGAAGAGGAGGGGAGAGAAGAGGAGUGGAGAGAAGAGGAGAGGAGAGAAGAGGAGGGGAGAGAAGAGGAGAGGAGAGAAGAGGAGUGGAGAGAAGAGGAGAGGAAAGAGGAGAUGAGAAAAGAGGAGUGGAGAGAAGAGGAGAGGAGAGAGGAGGAGGGGAGAGAAGAGGAGGGGGAGAAGAGGAGGGGAGAGAAGAGGAGAGGAGAGAAGAGGAGGGGGAGAAGGAGGGAGAGAAGAGGAGAGAAGAGGAGAGGAGAGAAGAGGAGGGGAGAGAAGAGGAGGGGGAGAAGAGGAGGGGAGAGAAGAGGAGAGGAAAGAGGAGGGGAGAGAAGAGGAGGGGAGAGAAGAGGAGGGGAGAGAAGAGGAGAGGAGGGAAGUGGAGAGGAGAGGAGAGGAGUGGAGAGAAGAGGAGUGGAGAGAAGAGAGGAGAGAAGAGGAGGGCAGAGAAGAGGAGAGGAGAGAAGAUGAGGGGAGAGAAGAAGAGAGGCAAGAGGAGAGGAGAGAAGAGGAGUGGGGAGAAGAGGAGAGAAGAGGAGGGGAGAGAAGAGGGUAGGAGAGAAGAGGAGAGGAGAGAAGAGGAGGGGAGAGAAGAGGAGAGGAGAGAAGAGGAGGG